RNAcentral lists this ribosomal RNA (253 nucleotides) under uncultured bacterium. Its description in RNAcentral is "partial 16S ribosomal RNA". It matches the Rfam family "Bacterial small subunit ribosomal RNA", at positions 524 to 776 of the family's 1533-position model. The record is from RNAcentral.
UACGAAGGGUGCAAACGUUGCUCGGAAUCAUUGGGCGUAAAGCGCACGUAGGCGGCUCCGCAAGUCGGAUGUGAAAUCCCUCGGCUCAACCGAGGACGUGCAUCCGAAACUGCAGAGCUUGAGUAUGGAAGAGGGUCGCGGAAUUCCCGGUGUAGAGGUGAAAUUCGUAGAUAUCGGGAGGAACACCAGUGGCGAAGGCGGCGACCUGGGCCAAUACUGACGCUGAGGUGCGAAAGCGUGGGGAGCAAACAGG